Molecule: ribosomal RNA, 1457 nt
Filed under: Streptomyces sp.
Lineage: Bacteria; Bacillati; Actinomycetota; Actinomycetes; Kitasatosporales; Streptomycetaceae
Description: bacterial SSU rRNA
Rfam family: Bacterial small subunit ribosomal RNA
Source: RNAcentral
UGCAGUUCGACGAUAACCAGUUCCGUGGUCAUUAAUGUCGAAGGGGUAAGUAACAGUGCGCGUUCUGCCCCGGCCUCUAGGACAGGCCCUGCUCACGGGGUCUAGAACCGGAAACGGACCGCCCCGUGCAUCUCAGGGGUUCGAGAUCUCCGACGGUGCCGGAUGACCCCUCGGCCUAUCCCCUUGUUGCUGAAGUUAUGUCUCGCCAUAGCGACUACCGGUAGCCAGCAUGAGAAGGCGACCGGACACGCUGAGACUGAAACCCGGCCCAGACACCUAGCGCAGGCACCAAUGGGGAGUAUUGCACAGUGGUCUACCGCCUGGUGCAACGACCCCACGUGACGGAUGACCGCGUUCGAGUUGUGUACCUCUAUCAUCAAGCAAUAAUCUAAGGUGACGAGUACCUGCAAAAGAAACUGCUGCCAACUACAUGCCACCAACCGCGGUAAUACCUACGGCGUACGUGUUGUCCGGAAUUAUUGGUGCGUAAAUAGCUCGUAGGCGUGCUUGUCAUAUUGGGUUGUGAAAGCCCGGGGCUUAACCCCGUGGUCUGCAUUCGAUACCGGCAGGCUAAACUUCGGUAGGGUCAUAUCAGACUUCCUGGUUUAACUGUGAAAUGCGCAGAAUGUAAUUACGAACACCGGUGGUGAAAUGCGGAUAUCUGGGCAGAUACUGACGCUUGAGGAGCGAACUCGUGGGGAUCGAACUGGAUCAGAUACCCUGGAUACUCCACGCCGUAAACGGGAGUACACUACCGUGUGGGCCACAUUCCAAGUUGACCAUGGCGCAGCGUACGGGAUUAUUUGCCCCGCUCAGGGGGAGUACGGCCGCAAGGCUAAAACUCACCGGAAUUGACCGGGGCCCAACACAAGCAGCUCGAACAAGUUGCUUAAUUCCACGCAAACGCGGAGAACCUUACCGGUGCUUGACAUACCCCCGGAAACGUCCAUAGAUGGGCGUCCACAUUGUGGUGAGGAGUACAAGAUGGUAGGAGGGUUCUCUUCCAGGUCCUGGUCGUGAGAAGGUUGGGGUGAAUUUCCCCCACCAAGGGCACCCCUUGUCCCGUGUUGCCAGCAGGCCCUUGUGGUGCUGGGGACUCACGGGAGACCGCCGGGGUCAACUCGGAGGAAGGUGGGGACGACGUCAAGUCAUCAUGCCCCUUAUGUCUUGGGCUGCACACGUGCUACAAUGGCCGGUACAAUGAGCUGCGAUACCGCAAGGUGGAGCGAAUCUCAAAAAGCCGGUCUCAGUUCGGAUUGGGGUCUGCAACUCGACCCCAUGAAGUCGGAGUCGCUAGUAAUCGCAGAUCAGCAUUGCUGCGGUGAAUACGUUCCCGGGCCUUGUACACACCGCCCGUCACGUCACGAAAGUCGGUAACACCCGAAGCCGGUGGCCCAACCCCUUGUGGGAGGGAGCUGUCGAAGGUGGGACUGGCGAUUGGGACGAAGUCGUAACAA